CGCAUGCGCCGGCCGCCGCCUCCCGCCGGCCUCCGCAGCACGCCCCGCGAGCUGGCCGCCACCCCAAGCCACGCGAGCGCCUGCAGCUCGCAGCCGUCCUCGCACGCCGCCGGUUGUCCUCGGCUCCGCCGCCAGGAGAGCGCAGGGGAAUGGGGAGCGCCCCCACGAGCCGGCCGCCGCCGGCCGCGCGCCGCGGGGUCUCGCCCGCCGCCAGCCUGAGCUCCGGUCGCCUGCUCUCGGCUUGCUGCCGCCGGAUCCGACCGGCGCAGGAGAGAGAGAGGGAGAGAGAGAGAGAGUGUGGGGAGGGACGGAACGAAGGGAGAGGCACAGGGCAGCACGGCGCCGCGCGGCCGCGCGCACACCUGCCCUCCCAUCCCCUCCUUCCUCACCGCGCCGCGCCGCGCCUCCCCUCCCUUCCAUCCGCGGCGCGCCGUGCCUCCCCUAACCCUAACCCUAGCUCCUCCACCGCCGCCGUCCGGCCCGCCCUCCUCUUGGGCUCCGCGGCCUUGCCCGUGGGCUCGCCGUGCCGUGCUGCUCCACCCUCCCCUUGGCCUCCGCGCGCCGUCGUCCAUAACCUACGCGCCGGCACUCCGAGCCGGGGCACCGCCACUGCUCCCGUCUGCGGGAGACUCCGAGCCACGGCGCCGCCGCUCCCAUCUGAGGCAGGGACGGGCCGCCCAGGGCGCUGCCUCCGCUCCCGCCCGUGGGUGGGAGGGGCCGACCCGGCGCGCCGCCGCCGCUCGCUGCUCGGUGUCCGGGCCUCACCACAAGCGGGGCGGCGCAUGCGCGGUGGCCCUCCCUGGAUGGGGCAGCUCGCGUCACAGCCGGAAGGCAGAUUAGACAGAUCCGGUGAGUGCAGGCUGGACCUAAGGCUGCAACAGAGGAGAACGGCGAUGAGCUGGGCGGCGCUCUUCCUCCUUUGCUCCACUUAUCGGCGCCACUCCAUCGUCAGCUCCUUCGGAUUCAGGAACCUCAAUUGAGCAGUCCAGCCUCGAUCUUGGUUCACAGUCCUCCACUCCCGUGGAUCCAAGACCUGUACAUUGCCCAGCCCAAGGUUAUUGCAACGGAGACAAGAAUACAAGAAAAUUAGCGCAGGUAGCAAGGGGUUGCCCCGGUCAACAGAUCAUGAUCUACACCCAGGUGAGCACAACUACCAUUGUAAUUUUCAGAGGGUGGCUUCCAAUUGCUACUAACUACCUGCACGAUGGUAUACAUAAUUCCAGAUUAUUUUACUCCAGAUCAAACUAUGUGUUCUCUCUCUCUCCGUCUGGUAUGUACUUUCAGCUUAAAUGACUACAUGGUAUUGUUGCUUUGCUUAGAAAUAGAAGAUUUAUGGAAAUCAUAACCUGUAAAGAGUGCUUUUUAUAGCUUUUCUUUUAAAAAACUAUGGCCUAAUCAAAUUAUGUUAUGAUUUUGCUGUAUAAGGUCAAGUACUACAGCAUGCUACUGAUAAAAAAUGGAAAAGUGGUAUAUAUGUUCAGCCAACUCUCUUCUCUGCAUGCAAUAUAAUGGCUUGGUGCAGACCAGAGCAACUGUUGCAAUACAAGUGGGUGGGAUUUGAGCUUUAGCGUAAAAACUUGGGAAUUAUAUUUGUGAAAAUUAUGUUUGUAUCUAUGAAAAUUACUCUUAACUACUGUUACAUGUUUUCCCUUCAAAAUUAGGCCUAUAAUGGAUUUGAUAGACAUCACAAUUUCUCGACAGUUACAUGAGCUGAUCCUAUCAAUCGAUUUGUCUUUCAUUUCCAUAUUUGGCAUAUUGUAUUUAUGCUAUUCUUUUCUGACAUCUAAGUUAUAGUAAUGGCUUUGUGGCUUUAUGUCUUGCUUGGUACAGCUUUCCUGCUGCACUCCUAGGUGUAUGUAAGGUUGCUGUCUGGUGAUUCUUUUGGUUGCCUUAAUUUCUUUUGCUUCGCCUCUGUACCAUUGCAGUAUGAUAUCCUUGGCUGUUGCUUUGUGUCACAGAAUCUCAAUUUUGAUCUUUUUUUCCAUCCAUUUCCACAAGACUAAUGGAAAGCAUGCUGAGAGUUCUCAACA
This is an RNA transcript of Panicum virgatum (switchgrass), 2030 nucleotides long. It is a transcript of the gene named translation initiation factor IF-2-like, with no coding region annotated. The record is from RefSeq and is a predicted model, not a curated record. The transcript is spliced from 4 exons. Lineage: Eukaryota; Viridiplantae; Streptophyta; Magnoliopsida; Poales; Poaceae.